Molecule: ribosomal RNA, 876 nt
Filed under: Comamonas denitrificans
Lineage: Bacteria; Pseudomonadati; Pseudomonadota; Betaproteobacteria; Burkholderiales; Comamonadaceae
Description: bacterial SSU rRNA
Rfam family: Bacterial small subunit ribosomal RNA
Source: RNAcentral
GCGCAGGCGGUUUUGUAAGACAGUGGUGAAAUCCCCGGGCUCAACCUGGGAACUGCCAUUGUGACUGCAAGGCUGGAGUGCGGCAGAGGGGGAUGGAAUUCCGCGUGUAGCAGUGAAAUGCGUAGAUAUGCGGAGGAACACCGAUGGCGAAGGCAAUCCCCUGGGCCUGCACUGACGCUCAUGCACGAAAGCGUGGGGAGCAAACAGGAUUAGAUACCCUGGUAGUCCACGCCCUAAACGAUGUCAACUGGUUGUUGGGAAUUUAUUUUCUCAGUAACGAAGCUAACGCGUGAAGUUGACCGCCUGGGGAGUACGGCCGCAAGGUUAAAACUCAAAGGAAUUGACGGGGACCCGCACAAGCGGUGGAUGAUGUUCUUUAAUUCGAUGCAACGCGAAAAACCUUACCCACCUUUGACAUGUAUGGAAUCCUUUAGAGAUGAAGGAGUGCUCGAAAGAGAGCCAUAACACAGGUGCUGCAUGGCUGUCGUCAGCUCGUGUCGUGAGAUGUUGGGUUAAGUCCCGCAACGAGCGCAACCCUUGCCAUUAGUUGCUACGAAAGGGCACUCUAAUGGGACUGCCGGUGACAAACCGGAGGAAGGUGGGGAUGACGUCAAGUCCUCAUGGCCCUUAUAGGUGGGGCUAGAAACGUCAUACAAUGGCCGGUACAAAGGGUAGCCAAGCCGCGAGGUGGAGCCAAUCCCAUAAAGCCGGUCGUAGUCCGGAUCGCAGUCUGCAACUCGACUGCGUGAAGUCGGAAUCGCUAGUAAUCGUGGAUCAGCAUGCCACGGUGAAUACGUUCCCGGGUCUUGUACACACCGCCCGUCACACCAUGGGAGCGGGUCUCGCCAGAAGUAGGUAGCCCUAACCGCAACGAGG